CCCAGCAGGAGGCAGAGCUGCUGCGAGAAGAAGACCCAGGAGAUCUGGGGCAGCGAGCUGUGCGUCUGACAGCGCAGGUCCAGCAGCGUGGGCCCCAGGAAGGCGAUGCACAGGCCGAAGCUGAAGAAGACGCUCCAGUAGGGUCUGGCUCUGUAACCCAGGCUUGAAUGCAGUGGCAUGAUGGGUGCAAUCUUGUUACCUGUUACUGGUCUCUUCAGGUUUUCUUUUUGGCUCAAUCUUGAGAUGGAGGCUCGUUUUGUUGCCCAGGCUGGAGUGCAGUGGCUAUUCACAGGCACAAUCAUCAUACACUGUAGCCUAGAACUCCUGGCCUCAAGCGAUUUUCCUGUCUCAGCCUACAAAGUUGCUGGAACUCUAGAUGUGCCUGCUUCCCCUUCGCCUUCCGCCAUGAUUGUAAGUUUUCUGAGGCCUCUCCAGAAGCAGAAGCCUGUAUAGCCCACAGAACUAUGAGUCAAUUAAACCUCUUUUCUUUAUAAAUUACCCAGUCUCAAGUAUGUCUUUAUAUCAGUGUGAGAAUGUAUGAAUACACCCUCCUUUCCUUAACUUUUUCUAUAAUAAAGCUUUUUAAUUGAGAUAAUUCACAUAUCAUAAUAUUCGCCCUUUUAAAGUGUACAAUCCAGUGGUUUUUAGUGUAUUUACAAGAUUGUGUGACCAUCACUACUAAUUCCAGACCAUUUCCAUCACCCCAAAAAUAAACUCCACACCCAUUAGCAGUCACUUCUCACUCUCUCUUCCCCUCGACUUACUUUCUGUCUUUAUGGAUUUGCCUGUUCUAGAUAUUUCAUAUCUAGAUAUUUCAUAUAAAUGGAAUCAUACAAUAUGUGGCUUUCUGUGUCUGGUUUCCUGUACUUAGCAUAAUGUUUUCAAGGUUCAUCCAUGGUAUCAGUAGUUUAUUCCUUUUUUAUGGCUGAAUAGUAUUCUAUUGUAUGGACAUACCACAUUUUGUUUAUACAUUCAUCAGCUGUUGGACAUUUGGGUUUCUACUUUUUGGCUAUUAUGAAUUAUGCUGCUGAGAAUAUUCAUGCACAAGUUUUUAUGUGAAUAUGUUUUAGUUCUCUUGGGUACAUAUUAGAAGGGUGGUUUGCUGUGUCAGAUAGUAACUCUGUGUUUAACUUUUUGAGACCCUUUCCUCAUUUAAAGAAAUGUUUUUGUCUUAUAGUAUAGUAUGUAUCUCUGUAAGCCACUACAGAUUCCUCUUUUUGGAAUGAGGUGGCAUAUAAAUAAAUAAAUAAAAAGUCACAAAGCACUCCCAAGCCAUCUGUUUAAUAAUCUGUGCCAGAAUGUUGCCAGGAUUCUAUAUUGAGCCGUUUGGUCUAUAAUUUCCAGAAAUACCUUCUGUCUCCUUGUAAAAAUCGGAACAUUUUCCCAUCUCCACUGUCCUCAAGUAUCUAGGUUGUUUUUCAGUCCUACCUGCAAGGGAUUUCAUGACUCUGGUGUCCUACCUGAAUCAGGCCCCCAGAACUCAUCUAUGGCCACAAAAGGUCUGCCCUCCACCUUCUCAUCUGUCUUGUGACACACUUAAAAUGUUUUGUAUCAAAGUAAUUCAUGCACAUGGUUAAAAAUAAACUAGAACAGAAGAGCUUACAGUCCCCUACCUCAUCCCUCCCACCCCUAGUCUU
Molecule: long non-coding RNA, 1637 nt
Filed under: Homo sapiens (human)
Lineage: Eukaryota; Metazoa; Chordata; Mammalia; Primates; Hominidae
Description: HSALNT0297648
Source: RNAcentral